ACGGAAGGCAGCAGUGGGGAAUAUUGGGCAAUGGGGGAAACCCUGACCCAGCAACGCCGCGUGAGGGAAGAAGGUUUUCGGAUCGUAAACCUCUGUCCUUGGUGACGAAGGAAGUGACGGUAGCCAAGGAGGAAGCCCCGGCUAACUACGUGCCAGCAGCCGCGGUAAUACGUAGGGGGCGGGCGUUGUCCGGAAUGACUGGGCGUAAAGGGCGUGUAGGCGGCAUUGUAAGUCCGGAGUGAAAGUCCUGCUUUCAAGGUGGGAAUUGCUUUGGAGACUGCAGAGCUUGAGUACGGGAGAGGUAAGUGGAAUUCCCGGUGUAGCGGUGAAAUGCGUAGAGAUCAGGAGGAACACCAGUGGCGAAGGCGACUUACUGGGCCGUAACUGACGCUGAGGCGCGAAAGCGUGGGGAGCGAACAGGAUUAGAUACCCUGGUA
Molecule: ribosomal RNA, 437 nt
Filed under: uncultured bacterium
Lineage: Bacteria
Description: partial 16S ribosomal RNA
Rfam family: Bacterial small subunit ribosomal RNA
Source: RNAcentral